This 395-nucleotide ribosomal RNA is filed under the name uncultured bacterium. RNAcentral describes it as "partial 16S ribosomal RNA". It matches the Rfam family "Bacterial small subunit ribosomal RNA", at positions 523 to 918 of the family's 1533-position model. The record is from RNAcentral.
AUACGUAGGGUGCAAGCGUUAAUCGGAAUUACUGGGCGUAAAGCGUGCGCAGGCGGUUUUGGAAGACAGUGGUGAAAUCCCCGGGCUCAAACUGGGAACUGCCAUUGUGACUGCAAGGCUGGAGUGCGGCAGAGGGGGAUGGAAUUCCGCGUGGAGCAGUGAAAUGCGUAGAUAUGCGGAGGAACACCGAUGGCGAAGGCAAUCCCCUGGGCCUGCACUGACGCUCAUGCACGAAAGCGUGGGGAGCAAACAGGAUUAGAUACCCUGGUAGUCCACGCCCUAAACGAUGUCAACUGGUUGUUGGGGAUUUAUUUUCUCAGUAACGAAGCUAACGCGUGAAGUUGACCGCCUGGGGAGUACGGCCGCAAGGUUAAAACUCAAAGGAAUUGACGGGG